Molecule: unclassified non-coding RNA, 213 nt
Filed under: Hevea brasiliensis (rubber tree)
Lineage: Eukaryota; Viridiplantae; Streptophyta; Magnoliopsida; Malpighiales; Euphorbiaceae
Source: RNAcentral
AAGAAAUUAAAGUAUUAAAUAAUUGAUCUUUUCAAUAAUUUACACAAUUACACAACAUAGCAACAACUAUCAAUGUUGUCUUCAAUUCAAGCACAUGAGAAAUUAAAGUACUAAACAAUUAAUUUUUUCAAUGAUUUGCACAAUUACACAUCACAGCAAGAGCAUCAAUACCCAUCUAACAAAAACAUUUCACAAUUCACAAUACCCAUUUAA